GAGAAGAACGUAGUGAAAUGCGAUAAGUAAUGUGAAUUGCAGAAUUCAGUGAAUCAUCGAAUCUUUGAACGCACAUUGCGCCCGCCAGUAUUCUGGCGGGCAUGCCUGUUCGAGCGUCAUUUCAACCCUCAAGCCCCCGGGCUUGGUGUUGGGGAUCGGCGUGCCCUCGCGGCGCGCCGUCCCCUAAAUCUAGUGGCGGUCUCGCUGUAGCUUCCUCUGCGUAGUAGCAACACUCGCACUGGAUCGCAGCGCGGCCACGCCGUUAAACCCCCCACUUCUGAAAGUUUGACCUCGGAUCAGGUAGGAAUACCCGCUGAACUUAAGCAUAUCAAUAAGCGGAGGA
RNAcentral lists this unclassified non-coding RNA (343 nucleotides) under soil metagenome. RNAcentral describes it as "partial contains 5.8S ribosomal RNA, internal transcribed spacer 2, and large subunit ribosomal RNA". The stretch from base 3 to 119 matches the Rfam family "5.8S ribosomal RNA", at positions 38 to 154 of the family's 154-position model. The record is from RNAcentral.